RNAcentral lists this long non-coding RNA (392 nucleotides) under Carica papaya (papaya). RNAcentral's name for it is "long non-coding RNA (CPAP_LNC008536)". The record is from RNAcentral. Lineage: Eukaryota; Viridiplantae; Streptophyta; Magnoliopsida; Brassicales; Caricaceae.
CAAAACAGAGAUCGGCGACCGAACUCACCCUCAUCCUCCUCUAUCUCCCCGUUUUCUCCUUCCAAAUCGUCAAUGUCGCUGUACAGAGACAUAGCGAGUGGCCAAUCCAGUGCGUCGCCGACUAGUUUCAAGCUUGUCUCGUCGAGGUGAGCCUUGGCUUUCGAGCUCAAGAGCGACAGGGCAACAAUAGCAGAGAGGAUGAGGAUGAGGAGGAGCUUGGAAGGUGAAACGGCCAUGGCGGUCAGAGAGGGGGAAGAUCGAGGAAAGCAGAUAAGAAAUAAGAGGAGAGAGGGAGGGGAGGGAGGGAAAAGCUGGGAUGGAAGUGAGAGGAGUCGGUGAGGGAAGGAAGAUGAUUGGGUUACAGCUGUGUCUUCAUAAAUGCACCAUUUCAG